UCCCGUAUCUUAAUUCACCGGUUUACUAGUCAUUUGGACAGUAAACGACAAUUUGAUUUACUUUUACUCUUUUUCGGUAACUUUAGUGGCCCUAAAAGUUGACUUUUUGUUCGGGUCAAAAUUUGAGAAAAUGUUCUUCAUGAAAGUUGUAGAGGACGUUAAACCGAGCGCGUGCAUAUGUGGUACGUAAAAAUCGGAGUUCGUAUGUGAAAGUUAUAAGCGAAAUACUAAAGUUACUGUUCAUAUGGUAAGUUUCUAUAAAUAGCCGAGUUACUGUGGUAAGUUUCCAUUUUCGGAAACUUACCGAGCCCUCUCCCUUCUCUCUCCCCGACCCUCUCUUCCUCUCCGACCUCUUCACCUUCUUCCGGCCAUAACUCCUCCAUCCGGCGACGGAUUUUGACGUAUAAGAUGUCGUUGGAAAGCUCUCUUCCUAUUCUUCAUUUCUGGGUUCGUUUCGUAGCUUAAUAUGAACUGUGGAAGGUGCAGAAACGAGAAGAAGAGGACGGUCACUGUAGCAGUUUUGAGUCAACGCCGAUAUUUUCCGAUUCCGGAAGUCUCCGGCCACCAAACUGGCAUCGAAGGGUUCUUGGGUUUUCUGGGCUUGUGUUCAACGGCCAAAUUGGAGCUCUUCCAGGGCAAUGCCGCGAGCUACGGUUAAAUGGAGGAACUCGUUUGCGUGGUCGCCCAAUAGUACUUUUGCAGGCGAAAUUAGUUGAGGUCGGGUGUACAUGGAGUCGAGGCAUAGCCAACAGCAUUACUUCCGCGUACUCAUUCUAUUUCUGUUUUUCUUUGUUACCUAGUGGAUUAGUAUUGCUCUGAUAACCUAUGGGAUUAAUAUUGUUUUUGGGUUAAGACUGAUAUUUGUGAAAUUGGAGUUGUGAUUUGGGGAGCAGAUGACUCCAGAAGAUUAAGGAUGGAUGAUUUAGAAGUGUAAAUGUUUUCCUACAGGUUUUGGGUAGCCUACUUUUAGGGGAAGUUCCGCCAAAUUUUUGGUAGAAUCUCUUCUAAAGUGGGCCCCGCAGGGCCACUUCGGAUUUCAGGGUGAAAUCUGGGGCGGGUCC
Molecule: long non-coding RNA, 1061 nt
Organism: Rosa rugosa (rugosa rose)
Lineage: Eukaryota; Viridiplantae; Streptophyta; Magnoliopsida; Rosales; Rosaceae
Exons: 4
Source: RefSeq, a predicted model, not a curated record